GGCAGCGAGUAGAUUGCUUGCAAUCUACGUCGGCGACCGGCGCACGGGUGCGUAACGCGUAUGCAACCUACCCAUUACAGGGGGAUAACACUGAGAAAUCGGUACUAAUACCCCAUAACAUCCAGGGAGGCAUCUUCUUGGGUUGAAAACUCCGGUGGUAAUGGAUGGGCAUGCGUUGUAUUAGUUAGUUGGUGGGGUAACGGCUCACCAAGACGACGAUACAUAGGGGGACUGAGAGGUUAACCCCCCACAUUGGUACUGAGACACGGACCAAACUCCUACGGGAGGCAGCAGUGAGGAAUAUUGGUCAAUGGACGCAAGUCUGAACCAGCCAAGUAGCGUGCAGGAUGACGGCCCUCCGGGUUGUAAACUGCUUUUAGUUGGGAAUAAAAGGGGGCUCGUGAGCCCCGUAUUGUAUGUACCAUCAGAAAAAGGACCGGCUAAUUCCGUGCCAGCAGCCGCGGUAAUACGGAAGGUCCGGGCGUUAUCCGGAUUUAUUGGGUUUAAAGGGAGCGUAGGCCGGUCUUUAAGCGUGCCGUGAAAUUUUGUGGCUCAACCAUGAGAGUGCGGCGCGAACUGGAGACCUUGAGUGCGCGGAAGGCAGGCGGAAUUCGUGGUGUAGCGGUGAAAUGCUUAGAUAUCACGAAGAACCCCGAUUGCGAAGGCAGCCUGCCGCAGCGUUACUGACGCUGAAGCUCGAAAGCGCGGGUAUCGAACAGGAUUAGAUACCCUGGUAGUCCGCGCGGUAAACGAUGGAUGCCCGCUGUCGGCGAUAUACAGUCGGCGGCCAAGCGAAAGCGUUAAGCAUCCCACCUGGGGAGUACGCCGGCAACGGUGAAACUCAAAGGAAUUGACGGGGGCCCGCACAAGCGGAGGAACAUGUGGUUUAAUUCGAUGAUACGCGAGGAACCUUACCCGGAUC
RNAcentral lists this ribosomal RNA (922 nucleotides) under uncultured bacterium. Its description in RNAcentral is "bacterial SSU rRNA". It matches the Rfam family "Bacterial small subunit ribosomal RNA", at positions 68 to 981 of the family's 1533-position model. The record is from RNAcentral.